GUAGGUGGCAAGCGUUGUCCGGAAUUAUUGGGCGUAAAGCGCGCGCAGGCGGUCCUUUAAGUCUGAUGUGAAAGCCCACGGCUCAACCGUGGAGGGUCAUUGGAAACUGGGGGACUUGAGUACAGAAGAGGAAAGCGGAAUUCCAAGUGUAGCGGUGAAAUGCGUAGAGAUUUGGAGGAACACCAGUGGCGAAGGCGGCUUUCUGGUCUGUAACUGACGCUGAGGCGCGAAAGCGUGGGGAGCAAACAGGAUUAGAUACCCUGGUAGUCCACGCCGUAAACGAUGAGUGCUAAGUGUUAGGGGGUUUCCGCCCCUUAGUGCUGCAGCUAACGCAUUAAGCACUCCGCCUGGGGAGUACGGCCGUAAGGCUG
RNAcentral lists this ribosomal RNA (371 nucleotides) under uncultured organism. RNAcentral's name for it is "partial 16S ribosomal RNA". It matches the Rfam family "Bacterial small subunit ribosomal RNA", at positions 527 to 896 of the family's 1533-position model. The record is from RNAcentral.